Molecule: ribosomal RNA, 253 nt
Filed under: uncultured bacterium
Lineage: Bacteria
Description: partial 16S ribosomal RNA
Rfam family: Bacterial small subunit ribosomal RNA
Source: RNAcentral
UACGAAGGGGGCUAGCGUUGUUCGGAAUCACUGGGCGUAAAGCGCACGCAGGCGGAUUGAUAAGUCAGGGGUGAAAUCCCGGGGCUCAACCUCGGAAUUGCCUUUGAUACUGUCUGUCUUGAGUCCGGGAGAGGUGAGUGGAAUUCCUAGUGUAGAGGUGAAAUUCGUAGAUAUUAGGAAGAACACCAGUGGCGAAGGCGGCUCACUGGCCCGGUACUGACGCUCAUGUGCGAAAGCGUGGUGAGCAAACAGG